Molecule: long non-coding RNA, 219 nt
Filed under: Lathyrus oleraceus (garden pea)
Lineage: Eukaryota; Viridiplantae; Streptophyta; Magnoliopsida; Fabales; Fabaceae
Description: Pisum sativum (pea) long non-coding RNA (PSAT_LNC007514)
Source: RNAcentral
CUAUAUCCACGCCGUGCAUUUAGCCACGUUGAAGAACUUGAGAAACGGAAAGCAGUUACCAGCACCAAUAUAAAUAGCUAUCUCUAAAACCUAAAAGGGUUCCUCGGUUUUCCACGCUCAUAUUGCCGAAGCUUUGCCAAUUUUCUUUUCACGCUUUUGCUUAUUUUUUUCUUUUUCCAGCAACUUAACAUCGUUUAUUUUAUUUAUUUCUUUUGCAAG